CCUACGGGUGGCAGCAGUGGGGAAUAUUGCGCAAUGGGCGAAAGCCUGACGCAGCGACGCCGCGUGAGGGAUGAAGGUCUUCGGAUCGUAAACCUCUGUCUGCAGGGGAGAAAGGUCACUGUGCUAAUCAGCAGUGAAUUGACGGUACCUGCAAAGGAAGCACCGGCUAACUCCGUGCCAGCAGACGCGGUAAUACGGAGGGUGCGUGCGGUAAUUGGAAUUAUUGGGCGUAAAGCGCUCGUAGGAGGUAUGUCAAGUCAAGGGUGAAAUGCCCGCGGUCAACGUGGGAACUGCCUUUGAAACGGGCAAACUGGAGUGGGUGAGAGGAUAGUGGAAUGCCAGGUGUAGGAGUGAAAUCCGUAGAUAUCUGGAGGAACAUCAGGGGCGAAGGCGACUAUCUGGCACAUAACUGACGCUGAGGAGCGAAAGCGUGGGUAGCAAACAGGAUUAGAUACCCUUGUAGUC
RNAcentral lists this ribosomal RNA (465 nucleotides) under uncultured bacterium. RNAcentral describes it as "partial 16S ribosomal RNA". It matches the Rfam family "Bacterial small subunit ribosomal RNA", at positions 338 to 795 of the family's 1533-position model. The record is from RNAcentral.